RNAcentral lists this ribosomal RNA (932 nucleotides) under Alternaria obclavata. Its description in RNAcentral is "eukaryotic LSU rRNA". It matches the Rfam family "Eukaryotic large subunit ribosomal RNA", at positions 1 to 950 of the family's 3401-position model. The record is from RNAcentral. Lineage: Eukaryota; Fungi; Ascomycota; Dothideomycetes; Pleosporales; Pleosporaceae.
UUGACCUCGAAUCAGGUAGGGAUACCCGCUGAACUUAAGCAUAUCAAUAAGCGGAGGAAAAGAAACCAACAGGGAUUGCCCUAGUAACGGCGAGUGAAGCGGCAACAGCUCAAAUUUGAAAUCUGGCUCUUUUAGAGUCCGAGUUGUAAUUUGCAGAGGGCGCUUUGGCUUUGGCAGCGGUCCAAGUUCCUUGGAACAGGACGUCACAGAGGGUGAGAAUCCCGUACGUGGUCGCUGGCUAUUGCCGUGUAAAGCCCCUUCGACGAGUCGAGUUGUUUGGGAAUGCAGCUCUAAAUGGGAGGUACAUUUCUUCUAAAGCUAAAUAUUGGCCAGAGACCGAUAGCGCACAAGUAGAGUGAUCGAAAGAUGAAAAGCACUUUGGAAAGAGAGUCAAACAGCACGUGAAAUUGUUGAAAGGGAAGCGCUUGCAGCCAGACUUGCUUGCAGUUGCUCAUCCGGGCUUUUGCCCGGUGCACUCUUCUGCAGGCAGGCCAGCAUCAGUUUGGGCGGUAGGAUAAAGGUCUCUGUCACGUACCUCUCUUCGGGGAGGCCUUAUAGGGGAGACGACAUACUACCAGCCUGGACUGAGGUCCGCGCAUCUGCUAGGAUGCUGGCGUAAUGGCUGUAAGCGGCCCGUCUUGAAACACGGACCAAGGAGUCUAACAUCUAUGCGAGUGUUUGGGUGUCAAGCCCGAGCGCGUAAUGAAAGUGAACGGAGGUAGGAACCCGCAAGGGUGCACUAUCGACCGAUCCUGAUGUCUUCGGAAGGAUUUGAGUAAGAGCAUGGCUGUUGGGACCCGAAAGAUGGUGAACUAUGCUUGAAUAGGGUGAAGCCAGAGGAAACUCUGGUGGAGGCUCGCAGCGGUUCUGACGUGCAAAUCGAUCGUCAAAUUUGGGCAUAGGGGCGAAAGACUAAUCGAACUAUCUAGUAG